Molecule: long non-coding RNA, 744 nt
Organism: Acanthopagrus latus (yellowfin seabream)
Lineage: Eukaryota; Metazoa; Chordata; Actinopteri; Spariformes; Sparidae
Exons: 2
Source: RefSeq, a predicted model, not a curated record
GCUGGGGUGGAAAGAUAGGUUGCCUGGUCUGGAUGCUGCUAUGUUGGAAGCCCAUUUAAAGAACUCUGAGUCGCUGUGCAGGUUACAGGUUUUGCUGGAUCACUUAUCAGAGGCAAAGCAGGCAGAUUUAUCUGAGCUCAUAAACUCUUUUCCAUCGUUGUUUGGUGACAUUCCUACUCAGACGCACCUUAGCGAGCAUGAUAUCAAUGUCGGAGUCCCUCCACCAAUCAGGCAGAGGUUCUAUCAGGUUGCUGAGGAGUUGAGAUGAAGUUUGGUGGCAAGUCUAGAGCGGCGAUGGAUGACAAGCACCUGAUGAGUCAGUCUUACAAGGCAUGGGUGAAAAAUAAUUCAGCCUUAUUUACACUAGAUAUGGAUAAUCUAAAAGAAUAACUGUUAUAAUAUGGUUAAAUCAGUUGGUUCCGGGGUUGGGACCCUGUUUCUAUGGGGGAGGGUGUGACGGCCUCCUGCUUUAGCAGAGCCUGCUGUGUGUGUGUGUGUGUGUGUGUAUGUGUGUCUUAUAUUUCUGUCACCCUCCCACGUAGGCGGAGUUAUAAUCACUGGGAGCACCUGAUCAGUCAUCUGUUGGAUCCCUUCUGUUGAGCUCUUUUGUUAAAAGCACUAUGUGUUUGGUUAGUUGGCCUCGACCUGUUUGCUUAGGUCUGGACUUUAAGUAUUGGUUGGUUAUUUUAGGUUAAUCAUAGGUUGCUUAUUUGGGUUAAUAAAUUAUUUUAUUUUUUCAGGUUA